AUCAUUUGUCUACAAAAUGUCUACAUUGGAUUAGCCAAAUGCAUAAUUUUAUGAUUUUUAGCUACAGUGAUGUCCUAUCACCAAUCAUAUUUGGCCUAGCAAUAUUCAUAAACCAAAUGAAUAUUUUACUAAAAAAAUAUCAUCCAACUGCUUCUCUCUCCUUUCCCUUUUAUUUCUCUCAUAUUGCUCGAGUCUCCCUCUUCUCUUUUUCACGGGAGUCCACCAUUUCUCUCUCUUUUCUCUUCGAUUUUCUCUCUAUUGCUUCCAAAACAUCUAUUUGUGACGAUUUUGACUAGGGAUUUUGAAGAUAUUAUCUUUGUUGGUGAAUUUCACAAGGGCCGUUGACGAUUUUCUCUCCAAUUUUGAUGAUUUUCUCUUUAAUGGCUGCCAAAACAUCUAGUCCAAAUCUCUGUCCUAGAGUGCCCAUUUCCUUCACACAAAAGCCACUUCAGCUGUUACUCGUCGACAUAACACCACUUAAGCCAUGUGGGUCAGGUGGUUGAAGAAAUCCAAGCUUCUAUUUAUAAAAACAGCACCGAAAAACUUCAUCUACCUUGGAGAUGGGAAUGGUGAUUAUUGCCCUACUCUGAAGCUUGGUGAAGGUGAUUAUGUGACGCCGAGGAAGAAUUAUCCUAUGUGGAAACACUUUGUGAAUGACUGCUAGUCAAGGCAAAAGUCCAGGAGUGGAGCACUGGAGAGGAGCUGGAGAGGGUCCUACUAUAUCUUAUGUAGCUUGCACGAAGGAAUAGGACUUUAUUAUUGGCUGAACUGGUGCUUGUUAAAAGUAUUUGUUUAGUUUUGCUGAGAUUGAAACUACUAUACUACAGUUGGGUUUUUGAUUGUAUAAUAUAGAAUUAUGGUUGGCCGAUUUUGCUUUUCAAUCUCACUACAUUUAUUGGAGAGAUUAGAUAGAUAAAAUAUAAAAUGCAAGUGCCCUGGUGCUGCCUA
This is an RNA transcript of Carya illinoinensis, 948 nucleotides long. It is a transcript of the gene named probable phosphatase phospho1, with no coding region annotated. Lineage: Eukaryota; Viridiplantae; Streptophyta; Magnoliopsida; Fagales; Juglandaceae. The record is from RefSeq and is a predicted model, not a curated record. The transcript is spliced from 2 exons.